UUAGGAAUUUUGGGCAAUGGGCGAAAGCCUGACCCAGCAACGCCGCGUGGGUGACGAAGGCCUUCGGGUCGUAAAGCCCUUUUCUGAGGGAAGAUAGUGACGGUACCUCAGGAAGAAGCACCGGCUAACUACGUGCCAGCAGCCGCGGUAAUACGUAGGGUGCGAGCGUUGCCCGGAUUUAUUGGGCGUAAAGGGCGCGUAGGUGGUUCUGUGUGCUCCGCGUGAAAUCGCCCGGCUCAACCGGGCGGGGUCGCGGAUGACUACAGGACUGGAGCCUGGGAGGGGGAAGCGGAAUUCCCGGUGUAGUGGUGGAAUGCGUAGAUAUCGGGAGGAACACCAGUGGCGAAGGCGGCUUCCUGGACCAGAGCUGACACUGAGGCGCGAAAGCGUGGGGAGCGAUCCGG
RNAcentral lists this ribosomal RNA (404 nucleotides) under uncultured bacterium. RNAcentral's name for it is "bacterial SSU rRNA". It matches the Rfam family "Bacterial small subunit ribosomal RNA", at positions 355 to 776 of the family's 1533-position model. The record is from RNAcentral.